UAGGGAAUCUUCCACAAUGGGCGCAAGCCUGAUGGAGCAACACCGCGUGAGUGAAGAAGGGUUUCGGCUCGUAAAGCUCUGUUGUUGGAGAAGAACGUGCGUGAGAGUAACUGUUCACGCAGUGACGGUAUCCAACCAGAAAGUCACGGCUAACUACGUGCCAGCAGCCGCGUAAUACGUAGGUGGCAAGCGUUAUCCGGAUUUAUUGGGCGUAAAGCGAGCGCAGGCGGUUGCUUAGGUCUGAUGUGAAAGCCUUCGGCUUAACCGAAGAAGUGCAUCGGAAACCGGGCGACUUGAGUGCAGAAGAGGACAGUGGAACUCCAUGUGUAGCGGUGGAAUGCGUAGAUAUAUGGAAGAACACCAGUGGCGAAGGCGGCUUACUGGACGGUAACUGACGUUGAGGCUCGAAAGCGUGGGGGAGCAAACAGGAUUAGAUACCC
This 440-nucleotide ribosomal RNA is filed under the name uncultured bacterium. RNAcentral's name for it is "bacterial SSU rRNA". It matches the Rfam family "Bacterial small subunit ribosomal RNA", at positions 355 to 787 of the family's 1533-position model. The record is from RNAcentral.